This 1367-nucleotide long non-coding RNA is filed under the name Homo sapiens (human). RNAcentral describes it as "non-protein coding lnc-CDK2AP1-1:13". The record is from RNAcentral. Lineage: Eukaryota; Metazoa; Chordata; Mammalia; Primates; Hominidae.
AUUUUGUUUUGAACGCAUAUUGACAGCACGCUUUACUUAGUAGCCGGUUCCCAUUUGCCAUACAAUGUAGGUUCUGCUUAAUGUAACUUCUUUUUUGCUUAAGCAUUUGCAUGACUAUUAGUGCUUCAAAGUCAAUUUUUAAAAAUGCACAAGUUAUAAAUACAGAAGAAAGAGCAACCCACCAAACCUAACAAGGACCCCCGAACACUUUCAUACUAAGACUGUAAGUAGAUCUCAGUUCUGCGUUUAUUGUAAGUUGAUAAAAACAUCUGGAAGAAAAUGACUAAAACUGUUUGCAUCUUUGUAUGUAUUUAUUACUUGAUGUAAUAAAGCUUAUUUUCAUUAACAAUUUGUAUUAAAAUGUGGGUUCCUUGAAUUCUUACGUGCUGUUUUAUUUUUUUGAGACAGGGUCUUGUUUUGCCACCCAGGCUGGAGUGCAGUAAUAUAAUCUUGGCUCACCGCAGCCUCAACCUCCUGGGCUCAAGCAAUCCUCCCAUCUCAGCCUCCCUAGUGGCUGGAACUACAGGUGUGUGCCACUAUGCCUGAAUAAUUUUUAAAAGACUUUUUGUAUUGAAUGAAUGGGUGUGUGAUGGAAAAAAAAUUUUUUUUGCAGAGAUGAGGUCUCACUAUGUUGCCUAGGCUGGAUCCUGGGCUCAAGUGAUCCUUCCACCUUAGCCUCUCAAAGUACUGGGAUUAUAGGUGUGAGCUACCACGCCUGGUGUAAAGAAGUGCUAUUUUAAAUAAUCUCUCAUGAAAGUGUUUGAAAUGCUUGUUCCCCGGUGCCGUGAAGAAAUAGCACUUGAACAUAAAUUUAAUUUACUCAGCAAGGCCAUUUUUACUUCCCGCAGAAAGGGUACAUUCGCCAGCAGUUUUGCCACGAGAGUACACCGAACAAAGAGACAGGGUCAUUUGUAACCUGAUGCGUCCACCCUACUGCUGUGUCCGGUUUCCAUUGGCUGGAACGGGACCUCAUAUUCUGUAUUUGUCCUGAUUGGGAAGCAACUUAAAACUUUUUAAAAGAGGCGAAGGCAGAAGAGAACAAAGGAAGGAGAAAGUAACUUGUGGAAUGGUGAGAAAGGCAUGAGGCGAAUUCUCAGCCAUGACAAGGCUGAAGGCCAGCAGGAACAGGCUCUAGCGAAAUGGGUGCUGUGUCCCCUUCCUGCAUGUGGCAGAAAGUUGCAAAGGGCGUUUGGGCUGGGGAAGGGUCCUGUACACUCGCAACAGGAGGUGUAGAAUGAGCCCUGCAUUGAAUGUGUAAGCAUCCAAAGCUGUCACUGAGGUGAGAAGAGCCUUCAUUGGCAGCCUCAAAGAGAAAGGUGUGCUUGGAUGUAUGCACUGGACAUGCCACCUAGGCCUACUGGACAUGC